AGAGUUUGAUCAUGGCUCAGGACGAACGCUGGCGGCGUGCCUAAUACAUGCAAGUCGAGCGGACCGAACGAGAGCUUGCUCUUGUUCGGUCAGCGGCGGACGGGUGAGUAACACGUGGGCAACCUGCCCGCAGGACCGGGAUAACUCCGGGAAACCGGAGCUAAUACCGGAUAACACCAAAGACCGCAUGGUCUUUGGUUGAAAGGCGGCUUCGGCUGUCACUUGCGGAUGGGCCCGCGGCGCAUUAGCUAGUUGGUGAGGUAACGGCUCACCAAGGCGACGAUGCGUAGCCGGCCUGAGAGGGUGACCGGCCACACUGGGACUGAGACACGGCCCAGACUCCUACGGGAGGCAGCAGUAGGGAAUCUUCCGCAAUGGACGAAAGUCUGGCGGAGCGACGCCGCGUGAGCGAAGAAGGCCUUCGGGUCGUAAAGCUCUGUUGUGAGGGACGAAGGAGCGCCGUUUGAAUAAGGCGGCGCGGUGACGGUACCUCACGAGAAAGCCCCGGCUAACUACGUGCCAGCAGCCGCGGUAAUACGUAGGGGGCGAGCGUUGUCCGGAAUUAUUGGGCGUAAAGCGCGCGCAGGCGGUCCUUUAAGUCUGAUGUGAAAGCCCACGGCUCAACCGUGGAGGGUCAUUGGAAACUGGGGGACUUGAGUGCAGGAGAGGAGAGCGGAAUUCCACGUGUAGCGGUGAAAUGCGUAGAGAUGUGGAGGAACACCAGUGGCGAAGGCGGCUCUCUGGCCUGCAACUGACGCUGAGGCGCGAAAGCGUGGGGAGCAAACAGGAUUAGAUACCCUGUAGUCCACGCCGUAAACGAUGAGUGCUAAGUGUUAGAGGGGUCACACCCUUUAGUGCUGCAGCUAACGCGAUAAGCACUCCGCCUGGGGAGUACGGCCGCAAGGCUGAACUCAAAUGAAUUGACGG
RNAcentral lists this ribosomal RNA (927 nucleotides) under uncultured bacterium. RNAcentral's name for it is "bacterial SSU rRNA". It matches the Rfam family "Bacterial small subunit ribosomal RNA", at positions 8 to 916 of the family's 1533-position model. The record is from RNAcentral.